RNAcentral lists this unclassified non-coding RNA (486 nucleotides) under Hevea brasiliensis (rubber tree). The record is from RNAcentral. Lineage: Eukaryota; Viridiplantae; Streptophyta; Magnoliopsida; Malpighiales; Euphorbiaceae.
AACUGGUUUCCGGUGACCAAAGCGCGCAGAAACCAGAGGUUUCUCAGACGGUAGAAGAAGCUCCGGCAGAUUCUCCGACGAAUCCAUUCCCUUCGGAGGAAUCCAUGUGGACUUUGAGAUUGCAAAGUCAUCCUCAACCUCCAUAGUACUUUUAUUCUCAAAAACAGGACCUGCACCACUCUUCUCCUGUCUCUGCUCGUAUACAUCCUCCGCCACCACAACCGUCGACUCCAUACCCCCAUAAUCGGAUAAAAUCUCCGCAGCCGAAAUCUUAAUCUGGUAGUGAAACUGAUCCGGCGCCUCAUGAAUCGAGAUUUUCGGAGCAGGUGGUAUUUGCUCCUGCUGUUCUUUAUCGGAGGCACCAUGGGUGUGAUGGAGACGAGAGGAGGCAGCGAUGGUGAUGAUGAUGCAGUUGAGUAUAACAUAAAGAUAAGGGGGUUUAAGCCAGGAAGCGAUUGAGCCCCAUAUAAGAGGAGCUUGAUAAAC